Long non-coding RNA from Panthera uncia (snow leopard), 1521 nucleotides. RefSeq lists it as uncharacterized. NCBI's taxonomy places the organism in Eukaryota, Metazoa, Chordata, Mammalia, Carnivora, Felidae. The record is from RefSeq and is a predicted model, not a curated record. The transcript has 4 exons.
UCAAGAGUUAAACUUGACUGCUCUAAGGAUAAAUGUAUUCCCUCACACACCCGCCAUUGAUUCAUUUAGGUAUGAAAAUGUGUGCCAAUUCUGACCAAAGAGAUGUAAGGAAAAGUUUCCUGCAGAUUUCUGGAAAGGUUUUCCUCAAAGAUAAAAAUGGGAAGCUCCGCCCUUUCUCCCACCGUCCACAAAGAAUGAAGCCUAAACUCCAGUGCCACUGUUGACAAUAACCAUGAGGUCAUUCAACCUUAGGAGAAAACCACAUUGCUGGUAACCAAGUGAAAAGGGAGAAUUUCACAGUGCGAAUUUUGAACUCUGCUUGGGAACCUCUUUGAAGAUCAGCCAGAAGAUGAUGGAAGUGCAAAUAACAUGCAGAAGCUCACAGCUGUCCUUCUGUAGUUCAUGCUGAGCUGGCAGUCAUUCUCCCAACAUGACAGAAGUCAGAUUACCCUGAGCAUCAGCCUUUUACAGCACAGAACAUGGGACUUCAUUAAAUCUCAGCAUUUACAUAUUCAUAAUUCGCAUCAGAAAAGAAGUCACUCCUCCCACCACAUAGACAGGAAGAAACUGCAAGAGGGAAAGAGAAGCCAGAUAUGCGCUUAUUAGAGCUGGUUACAAGAAAAGCCACGGAAAGGUGAAGAUGUCUCUCCAGACAUGUGUCUGACACGUGGUAGGUGUUUAAUGAGUACUUGCUCACUGAACAGUGCAGUGGUACAGACUGAGGAAAGGGGAAAUUACAGAGGAGAAGUUGAAUGCUGUGUCAUAGAGUGAGGUUGCAAACACUAAAGGAAUGGUUUUACAAGGAGGAAGAAUCGAAAAAGAGAAAGGAGUACUAAAAGACAGCUGGAGGGAAAGGAAAUGUGUAAUUGUGAUUUAUUCUUAGAGUAGCAAAGUCCUAGUAAAAAAAAAGAGAACAUUGAGUAAAUUUAAGAGAGGCUAUAAACCAGCUGCAGUACACAGAAGGAAGCAUGAAAUAAAGCUGCAUGGUACACAAGAGCCCUGAAGGGCAGGACUGGCUUCCCUGAAAACUUAGCAAGGAGGAGUUGGUGUCUAAAAUGAAGCAGAUCUGAAAAAUGUAAUUAUCUGUUUGGGUUUAAUGUAAACGCAUAGCGAGUCCGUUCUUCAAUUUUUCCAUGAGGAGAUUAAAUAAAUGUCAAAUAACCAGUUUGGGUUGAAAGUCCAAACUUAAGAACCUUAAUGAGACUGUGUCCCAAGUAGAAAUAUUUUAAUCUGGAUACACUUAUAGGCAGACUGACUUCAUAUUUUAUUAUGAAGCACCCUAGCUCUACUACCCAAAGAGGCCACAAAGCCAGCCUGAGCAGUCAAUUUUGAGGCUGAGAAUAAGGAACUCCCUCACUUCCCCCCUUAUGCAGGUAUAAGAACCACGAACAGACAAUGGCACUAACAGGAAGGAUGGACAGAGAGGAGAAAACAUUUUCUGAAUAAGGAUAAUUCUUGAGAACUGUAAAACCUCAUAUUUCGAUUUUAUAAUAUGGAAACCAGCUCUGUGUCUAAAAUAAA